Molecule: ribosomal RNA, 497 nt
Filed under: uncultured bacterium
Lineage: Bacteria
Description: partial 16S ribosomal RNA
Rfam family: Bacterial small subunit ribosomal RNA
Source: RNAcentral
GAUGAACGCUGGCGGCGUGCCUAAUACAUGCAAGUCGAGCGAACAGAUGAGGAGCUUGCUCCUCUCACGUUAGCGGCGGACGUGUGAGUCACGCGUGGAUACCCUACCUAUCAGUCUGGGAUAACUUCGGGAAACCGGCGCUAAUACCGUAUAAUAUAUUGAACCGCAUGGUUCAAUAGUGAAAUACGGUUUUGCUGUCACUUCUAGAUGGUUCCGAGCCGCUUUAGCUAGUUGGUAAGGUAACGGCUUACCAAGGCAACGAUGCGUAGCCGAACUGAGGGGGUGAUCGGCCACAUUGGAACUUAGCCACGGUCCAUACUCCUACGGUAGGCAGCAGUAUGCAAUCGUCCGCAAUGGUCGAAAGCCUUACAGAGCGACGCCGCGUGAGUGAUGACGGUCUUCGGAUCGUAAAACUCUGUUAUUAGUUAAAAACAAAUUUGUAAGGAACUAUGCACUUCUUGACGGUACCUAAUCAGAAAGCCACGGCUAACUACGUG